UCUUAAGUCUGAUGUGAAAGCCCCCGGCUCAACCGGGGAGGGCCAUUGGAAACUGGGAGGCUUGAGUAUAGGAGAGAAGAGUGGAAUUCCACGUGUAGCGGUGAAAUGCGUAGAGAUGUGGAGGAACACCAGUGGCGAAGGCGACUCUUUGGCCUAUAACUGACGCUGAGGCGCGAAAGCGUGGGGAGCAAACGGGAUUAGAAAC
This 205-nucleotide ribosomal RNA is filed under the name Exiguobacterium sp. Its description in RNAcentral is "partial 16S ribosomal RNA". It matches the Rfam family "Bacterial small subunit ribosomal RNA", at positions 581 to 785 of the family's 1533-position model. The record is from RNAcentral. Lineage: Bacteria; Bacillati; Bacillota; Bacilli; Caryophanales.